RNAcentral lists this ribosomal RNA (468 nucleotides) under uncultured bacterium. RNAcentral describes it as "partial 16S ribosomal RNA". It matches the Rfam family "Bacterial small subunit ribosomal RNA", at positions 28 to 507 of the family's 1533-position model. The record is from RNAcentral.
GACGAACGCUGGCGGCGUGCUUAACACAUGCAAGUCGAACGGAAAGGCCCUGCUUUUGUGGGGUGCUCGAGUGGCGAACGGGUGAGUAACACGUGAGUAACCUGCCCUUGACUUUGGGAUAACUUCAGGAAACUGGGGCUAAUACCGGAUAGGAGCUCCUGCUGCAUGGUGGGGGUUGGAAAGUUUCGGCGGUUGGGGAUGGACUCGCGGCUUAUCAGCUUGUUGGUGGGGUAGUGGCUUACCAAGGCUUUGACGGGUAGUCGGCCUGAGAGGGUGACCGGACACAUUGGGACUGAGAUACGGCCCAGACUCCUACGGGAGGCAGCAGUGGGGAAUAUUGCACAAUGGGCGGAAGCCUGAUGCAGCAACGCCGCGUGCGGGAUGACGGCCUUCGGGUUGUAAACCGCUUUCGCCUGUGACGAAGCGUGAGUGACGGUAAUGGGUAAAGAAGCACCGGCUAACUACGUG